RNAcentral lists this ribosomal RNA (2451 nucleotides) under metagenome. RNAcentral describes it as "bacterial LSU rRNA". It matches the Rfam family "Bacterial large subunit ribosomal RNA", at positions 14 to 2480 of the family's 2925-position model. The record is from RNAcentral.
AGGGCAUACGGCGGAUGCCUAGGCGCCAAGAGCCGAUGAAGGACGCGGUAAGCUGCGAAAAGCCACGGGGAACUGCAAGCAAGUAUCGAUCCGUGGAUGUCCGAAUGGGGAAACCCAAUAGCCGUCAUGGGCUAUUACCCUGUAAUGGGGAGGGAACCCGGGGAACUGAAACAUCUAAGUACCCGGAGGAAGAGAAAUCAAACGAGAUGCCCCCAGUAGCGGCGAGCGAAGCGGGCAGAGCCUAAACCGGGAAGCUACGGCUUUCCGGGGUUACGGACCAGUAUAAUUGAAGCCAGGCCUAGUCGAAUUACCUGGAAAGGUAAGCCAUAGGGUGUAAGAGCCACGUAGACGAAAGGCAGAGCAGAGAGACUGGUAUCCAGAGUACCACGAAACACGAGAAACUUUGUGGGAAGUAGGGGGGACCACCCUCCAAGGCUAAACACUACUUGGCGACCGAUAGCGCAUAGUACCGUGAGGGAAAGGUGAAAAGAACCCCGGGAGGGGAGUGAAAUAGUACCUGAAACCGUAUGUCUACAAGCAGUCGGAGCGAAAGCGACGGCGUGCCUAUUGAAGAAUGAGCCAACGAGUUACGUGCACUAGCGAGGUUAAGCGGGAAACGCGGAGCCGCAGCGAAAGCGAGUCUGAAUAGGGCGAUAGUUAGUGUACGUAGACCCGAAACUGCAGUGAUCUACCCAUGUCCAGGUUGAAGCGCAGGUAAAAUUGCGUGGAGGACCGAACCCGUGAACGUUGAAAAGUUUUGGGAUGAGAUGUGGGUAGCGGUGAAAUUCCAAUCGAACGCAGAGAUAGCUGGUUCUCCUCGAAAUAGCUUUAGGGCUAGCCUCAGGUAGUAAGUAUAGGCGGUAGAGCACUGAUCGGGCUAGGGGGCGUAAAGUCUACCGAACCCUGUCAAACUCCGAAUGGUUAUACUGCAAAGCCUGGGAGUCAGACUACGGGUGAUAAGAUUCGUGGUCAAAAGGGAAACAGCCCAGACCACCAGCUAAGGUCCCAAAUGCCGUACUAAGUGGCAAAGGAUGUGGGGUUACAUAAACAACCAGGAUGUUGGCUUAGAAGCAGCCACCAUUUAAAGAGUGCGUAAUAGCUCACUGGUCGAGUGACCCUGCGCCGAAGAUUCCCGGGGCUAAAGUACGGAACCGAAGCUGUGGAUGCAUUGCUUGAGCAAUGCGUGGUAGAGGAGCGUUCCCAUCGGGUUGAAGUCGUUCUGUAAGGAACGGUGGACUGGUGGGAAGUGAGAAUGUUGGCAUGAGUAGCGAAAAGAAAGGUGAGAAUCCUUUCCACCGAAAGCAUAAGGAUUCCUGAGCAACGCUCGUCGUCUCAGGGUAAGUCGGGGCCUAAUCCGAGGCAUAAAGCGUAGGAGAUGGACAACUGGUUGAUAUUCCAGUACCGGUAAUGUUUGUUUGAGCAAUGGAGUGACACAGAAGGGCAGGCAAUCACGAGAUUGGUAGUUCGUGUGCAAGCAUGUAGGGUGGAGCGUAGGCAAAUCCGCGCUUCUGAGCCUGAGGUGUGAUGCGGAGGCAAGAAAUUGCCGAAGUUGCUGACCCCACGCUGUCGAGAAAAGCUUCUAGUUAGAACAUGACCGCCCGUACCGUAAACCGACACAGGUAUGCGGGGAGAGAAUCCUAAGGUGCGCGGGAGAACCCUCGUUAAGGAACUCGGCAAAAUGUACCCGUAACUUCGGGAUAAGGGUAGCCAUCAGGGUGAAGGGACUUGCUCCUGGAGCCUAGUAUGGUCGCAGAGAAGAGGCCCAAGCGACUGUUUACCAUAAACACAGGUGCCUGCUAAAGAGAAAUCUGACGUAUAGGUGCUGACACCUGCCCAGUGCCGGAAGGUUAAGGAAGGAUGUUCGGAUUAGUCCAAAGCAUUUGACCGAAGCCCCGGUGAACGGCGGCCGUAACUAUAACGGUCCUAAGGUAGCGAAAUUCCUUGUCGGGUAAGUUCCGACCCGCACGAAAGGUGUAACGACUUGGGCACUGUCUCAACGAGGGACCCGGUGAAAUUGAAAUACCUGUGAAGAUGCAGGUUACCCGCGACUGGACAGAAAGACCCCAUGGAGCUUUACUGUAACCUGACAUUGGGUUUUGAUGCAUUACGUACAGGAUAGGUGGGAGGCUUGGAAGCGAGGACGCUAGUCUUCGUGGAGCCAACGUUGGGAUACCACCCUUGAUGCAUCGGAAUUCUAACCGUAAUAUUAACACCAUUCGGGACAGUGUCAGGCGGGCAGUUUGACUGGGGCGGUCGCCUCCCAAAGUGUAACGGAGGCGCCCAAAGGUUCCCUCAGCGCGGUCAGAAAUCGCGCGAAGAGUGUAAAGGCAGAAGGGAGCUUGACUGCGAGUCAAACACGACAAGCAGGUACGAAAGUAGGGCUUAGUGAUCCGGUGGUUCCGAGUGGAAGGGCCAUCGCUCAACGGAUAAAAGCUACCCUGGGGAUAACAG